Molecule: long non-coding RNA, 550 nt
Organism: Lolium rigidum
Lineage: Eukaryota; Viridiplantae; Streptophyta; Magnoliopsida; Poales; Poaceae
Exons: 2
Source: RefSeq, a predicted model, not a curated record
GCCAAAUGGAACUCUUUAUGAGCAUCUUCAAGGUAAGAGAUAUCGUGCGUCUGCUUGUAUGAUGACAUUGGACUGAAAAACUAUUUGCUUUGAUCAUGCGUCUCUGGGUUUCAGAUGGGGAAGGAUGUCAGCUAUCUUGGCCCUGUCGUUUGGAGAUCGUGCACAUUCUAAGUCACUUGCAAACUGACCUGCGGCUUCCAUUCGCCGUCGCCACUGAAUCAUGCUUUCAUGUACACUCCUGGAAACCUGUAUUCCAGAAUCCGGUACACUUCAGAAGGUGCUGCUUGUGAAUUGGCCCUUCGUGCUUUGCAAAUGGAGGCAUGAACAUGGCAUGCAAGGAUUCUCUGGAUUGGCUUGUCCCUUACAUAGGUCAGUGAGGUUAGUUACUCUUUUAGAUUGGAAACGAUCCAGUGGCUGCUCAGCAAAAAGUUUCAGAUAAAAAGGGUACAUAGUGUAAUUGGAAGCUUUAACUUCAAUCUUUGUACCACACAUACUACUAAUACUUACUUGAACAGUGUGCCUUUUGAGGUAUUGUACCACACAUACUACA